GAUGAACGCUGGCGGCGUGCCUAAUACAUGCAAGUCGAGCGAACAGAUAAGGAGCUUGCUCCUUUGACGUUAGCGGCGGACGGGUGAGUAACACGUGGGUAACCUACCUAUAAGACUGGGAUAAAUUCGGGAAACCGGAGCUAAUACCGGAUAACAUUUGGAACCGCAUGGUUCUAAAGUGAAAGAUGGUUUUGCUAUCACUUCUAGAUGGACCCGCGCCGUAUUAGCUAGUUGGUAAGGUAACGGCUUACCAAGGCAACGAUACGUAGCCGACCUGAGAGCGUGAUCGGCCACACUGGAACUGAUACACGGUGCAGACUCCUACGGGAGGCAUCAGUAGGGAAUCUUCCGCAAUGGGCGAGAGCCUGACGGAGCAACGCCGCGUGAGUGAUGAAGGGGUUCGGCUCGUAAAACUCUGUUAUUAGGGAAGAACAAACGUGUAAGUAACUGUGCACGUCUUGACGGUACCUAAUCAGAAAGCCACGGCUAACUACGUG
This 497-nucleotide ribosomal RNA is filed under the name uncultured bacterium. Its description in RNAcentral is "partial 16S ribosomal RNA". It matches the Rfam family "Bacterial small subunit ribosomal RNA", at positions 28 to 507 of the family's 1533-position model. The record is from RNAcentral.